AGUCGAGCGCACCUUCGGGUGAGCGGCGGACGGGUUAGUAACGCGUGGGAACAUACCCUUUGGUACGGAAUAGCCUCUGGAAACGGAGAGUAAUACCGUAUGAGCCCUUCGGGGGAAAGAUUUAUCGCCAAAGGAUUGGCCCGCGUUAGAUUAGGUAGUUGGUGGGGUAAUGGCCUACCAAGCCUACGAUCUAUAGCUGGUUUUAGAGGAUGAUCAGCAACACUGGGACUGAGACACGGCCCAGACUCCUACGGGAGGCAGCAGUGGGGAAUCUUGGACAAUGGGGGCAACCCUGAUCCAGCCAUGCCGCGUGAGUGAUGAAGGCCUUAGGGUCGUAAAGCUCUUUCGCCUGUGAAGAUAAUGACGGUAGCAGGUAAAGAAACCCCGGCUAACUCCGUGCCAGCAGCCGCGGUAAUACGGAGGGGGUUAGCGUUGUUCGGAAUUACUGGGCGUAAAGCGCACGUAGGCGGACUGGAAAGUUGGGGGUGAAAUCCCAGGGCUCAACCCUGGAACUGCCUCCAAAACUAUCAGUCUAGAGUUCGAGAGAGGUGAGUGGAA
Molecule: ribosomal RNA, 558 nt
Filed under: Ruegeria sp. Rg183
Lineage: Bacteria; Pseudomonadati; Pseudomonadota; Alphaproteobacteria; Rhodobacterales; Roseobacteraceae
Description: bacterial SSU rRNA
Rfam family: Bacterial small subunit ribosomal RNA
Source: RNAcentral